Molecule: ribosomal RNA, 606 nt
Filed under: Triticum aestivum (bread wheat)
Lineage: Eukaryota; Viridiplantae; Streptophyta; Magnoliopsida; Poales; Poaceae
Description: partial small subunit ribosomal RNA
Source: RNAcentral
AUGGUGGAGUUUUAUUUAUAUGAUGAGCAUAAGGUGAUGCCACUUUAUGAUUUUUGUCGGGUUUGUUUGAUCCCUUUCGAGGGCACAAUAGAGGAACCACAUCACGGCGAUGUGGAUGGGUUUAUUGAUACAAUUACUGUAGGGGAAACGAGGAAGGUUUCCGAUGCACGAAUCACUAGCAUACAUUUUCCUGUUUUAUGCUACUUUGCAAUAUUUGCUAGUCGUUGCUUAAUUGGUCGUGGAAACUGUGGAAACCUUAGUGUUCCUGAUAUUAUUAUUUUGUUCCACGGUUUAUUCAGUGAUAUCUCUGUUAGUAUGGGCGGUAUUAUUGCUAAACGGUUAAGUCUGAACCGUACAAAGGGCCCCAUCUUUGGAGGCAUCUAUGCUUCUCGCCUACCUGCACAUUUUAACAUACCUAUUAGGCAUUAUGAGAAGGAAGAAAAAUUGCUGCCUCGUGUUUAUUUAGAUUAUAAGUGUAUGGUGGCACACGAUUUUAUUGUUAAGAAUAGGGAAGGGGAGCUCAAAUACAAAUUGUUCUUUCAUAAACAUCAUCCUGAGACUAUUACCCUGCCUUCUCCUUCCUUGUUUGAUUUAUCUUCAGGCUAG